RNAcentral lists this ribosomal RNA (489 nucleotides) under uncultured soil bacterium. RNAcentral describes it as "bacterial SSU rRNA". It matches the Rfam family "Bacterial small subunit ribosomal RNA", at positions 26 to 507 of the family's 1533-position model. The record is from RNAcentral.
AGAUUGAACGCUGGCGGCAUGCCUAACACAUGCAAGUCGAACGGCAGCACGGCAGUAGCAAUACUGUGGGUGGCGAGUGGCGGACGGGUGAGGAAUACGUCGGAAUCUGCCCAGUCGUGGGGGAUAACUAAUCGAAAGGUUAGCUAAUACCGCAUACGACCGAGAGGUGAAAGCGGGGGACCGCAAGGCCUCGCGCGAUUGGAUGAGCCGACGUCGGAUUAGCUAGUUGGUAGGGUAAAGGCCUACCAAGGCGACGAUCCGUAGCUGGUCUGAGAGGAUGAUCAGCCACACUGGAACUGAGACACGGUCCAGACUCCUACGGGAGCAGCAGUGGGGAAUAUUGGACAAUGGGCGCAAGCCUGAUCCAGCAAUGCCGCGUGUGUGAAGAAGGCCUUCGGGUGUAAAGCACUUUUAUCAGGAACGAAAGCGUAGAGUUAAUACCUUUACGUGCUGACGUACCUGAGGAAUAAGCACCGGACUAACUUCGUG